RNAcentral lists this small RNA (96 nucleotides) under Flavobacterium xueshanense. RNAcentral describes it as "Flavo-1 RNA". It matches the Rfam family "Flavo-1 RNA". Lineage: Bacteria; Pseudomonadati; Bacteroidota; Flavobacteriia; Flavobacteriales; Flavobacteriaceae. The record is from RNAcentral.
UUUUAGCCCAGAUGGAAACGGCAUCCUUUUACAAAGCUUCCAGCCUUUUGAAGGCUGGAAGCUUUGUAAAAGAUAUAGUGGACAGCUGGAAAUAGC